RNAcentral lists this ribosomal RNA (467 nucleotides) under uncultured bacterium. Its description in RNAcentral is "bacterial SSU rRNA". It matches the Rfam family "Bacterial small subunit ribosomal RNA", at positions 29 to 506 of the family's 1533-position model. The record is from RNAcentral.
ACGAACGCUGGCGGCGUGCCUAACACAUGCAAGUCGAGCGAGGCCCAUCCGGUGGCAACACCGGGGAAGGCCUAGCGGCGAACGGGUGAGUAACACGUGAGGAACCUGCCCCAGAGACUGGGAUAACAGCUGGAAACGGCUGCUAAUACCGGAUACCGUCAUUGGACCGCAUGGUCCGCUGACGAAAUGGAUUCCGCUCUGGGAGGGCCUCGCGGCCUAUCAGCUUGUUGGUGGGGUAACGGCCCACCAAGGCUCCGACGGGUAGCUGGUCUGAGAGGACGAUCAGCCACACUGGGACUGAGACACGGCCCAGACUCCUACGGGAGGCAGCAGUGGGGAAUCUUGCGCAAUGGGCGAAAGCCUGACGCAGCAACGCCGCGUGCGGGAUGACGGCCCUCGGGUUGUAAACCGCUUUCAGCAGGAACGAAUCUGACGGUACCUGCAGAAGAAGCCCCGGCCAACUACGU